GCGUCGGUGGUGCAACGGUUCAGCAUAUGUUCCCGGAAAGAGUAAGAUCUAGGUCCGAAUCCUAGCUGACGUA
Molecule: non-coding RNA, 73 nt
Organism: Parelaphostrongylus tenuis
Lineage: Eukaryota; Metazoa; Nematoda; Chromadorea; Rhabditida; Metastrongylidae
Source: the annotation of a GenBank genome assembly